This 212-nucleotide long non-coding RNA is filed under the name Elaeis guineensis (African oil palm). Its description in RNAcentral is "long non-coding RNA (EGUI_LNC025626)". Lineage: Eukaryota; Viridiplantae; Streptophyta; Magnoliopsida; Arecales; Arecaceae. The record is from RNAcentral.
ACUUUUACAAUGUAAUUUAGAAAUCUAGUCCCAAAAGCUUUCCACUAUGUAACCUUUACUACGUAUUUUAGGGAAAUGAUCAAGGGCCCAUGAUACAGUUAGCAACUUAUCAAACCCUAAAAGAGCCCUUUUAAUUAUUUUAACUAUGUAAAUGAAAUGGCCUUUCUUUUUUUCUCUCUCUCUUCUUGCGGCCAACUCUUUAUCGUCUGUCA